Molecule: ribosomal RNA, 203 nt
Filed under: uncultured bacterium
Lineage: Bacteria
Description: partial 16S ribosomal RNA
Rfam family: Bacterial small subunit ribosomal RNA
Source: RNAcentral
UUGCAGGCUGAAAUUACGCCUGCAUGAAGCCGGAAUUGCUAGUAAUGGCAGGUCAGCAUACUGCCGUGAAUACGUUCCCGGGCCUUGUACACACCGCCCGUCACACCAUGAGAGUUGGGGAUACCCGAAGCCUGUGAGCCAACUUUUAGAGGCAGCAGUCGAAGGUAGAAUCAAUGAUUGGGGUGAAGUCGUAACAAGGUAGC